UAGGGAAUCUUCCACAAUGGACGCAAGUCUGAUGGAGCAACGCCGCGUGAGUGAAGAAGGCUUUCGGGUCGUAAAACUCUGUUAUUGAAGAAGAACGUGUGUGACAGUAACUGGUCAUGCAGUGACGGUAUUCAAUCAGAAAGUCACGGCUAACUACGUGCCAGCAGCCGCGGUAAUACGUAGGUGGCAAGCGUUGUCCGGAUUUAUUGGGCGUAAAGCGAGUGCAGGCGGUCUUUUAAGUCUGAUGUGAAAGCCUUCGGCUUAACCGAAGAAGGGCAUCGGAAACUGGGAGACUUGAGUGCAGAAGAGGAGAGUGGAACUCCAUGUGUAGCGGUGAAAUGCGUAGAUAUAUGGAAGAACACCAGUGGCGAAGGCGGCUCUCUGGUCUGUAACUGACGCUGAGGCUCGAAAGCGUGGGUAGCAAACAGGAUUAGAUACCCUGGUAGUCCACG
Molecule: ribosomal RNA, 452 nt
Filed under: uncultured bacterium
Lineage: Bacteria
Description: partial 16S ribosomal RNA
Rfam family: Bacterial small subunit ribosomal RNA
Source: RNAcentral